AGUGAACGCUGGCGGUAGGCCUAACACAUGCAAGUCGAACGGCCGCACAGUAAGAGCUUGCUCUUACGGGUGGCGAGUGGCGGACGGGUGAGGAAUACAUCGGAAUCUACUUUUUCGUGGGGGAUAACGUAGGGAAACUUACGCUAAUACCGCAUACGACCUACGGGUGAAAGCAGGGGAUAUUCGGACCUUUCGCGAUUGAAUGAGCCGAUGUCGGAUUAGCUAGUUGGCGGGGUAAAGGCCCACCAAGGCGACGAUCCGUAGCUGGUCUGAGAGGAUGAUCGGCCACACUGGAACUGAGACACGGUCCAGACUCCUACGGGAGGCAGCAGUGGGGAAUAUUGCACAAUGGGCGCAAGCCUGAUGCAGCCAUACCGCGUGGGUGAAGAAGGCCUUCGGGUUGUAAAGCCCUUUUGUUGGGAAAGAAAAGCAGCAGGUGAAUACCCCGCUGUUCUGACGGUACCCAAAGAAUAAGCACCGGCUAACUUCGUG
RNAcentral lists this ribosomal RNA (492 nucleotides) under uncultured bacterium. Its description in RNAcentral is "partial 16S ribosomal RNA". It matches the Rfam family "Bacterial small subunit ribosomal RNA", at positions 29 to 507 of the family's 1533-position model. The record is from RNAcentral.